AGGUGAGGUAGAGGUUGCGGGAAUGAUAAGUAAUGCGGGCCAGAGCCGGAGAAGCUCGACGAAUCCGCAUGAAAGGCAUUUCCGCCGAAGUUUGCGUUUGUUCUCCGUUUACGCAGGCUGGGGCUGUAUCCGAACAGGUGCAGAACUGUCACGCGAAACGAGCCGUUCGCGUGUUGCGCUAUCUUCACG
This 189-nucleotide non-coding RNA is filed under the name Paenibacillus sp. CECT 9249. RNAcentral's name for it is "Lysine". It matches the Rfam family "Lysine riboswitch aptamer". Rfam says of the family: Riboswitches are metabolite binding domains within certain messenger RNAs that serve as precision sensors for their corresponding targets. The record is from RNAcentral. Lineage: Bacteria; Bacillati; Bacillota; Bacilli; Caryophanales; Paenibacillaceae.